Molecule: transfer RNA, 68 nt
Filed under: Exallonyx sp. ZJUH_2016014
Lineage: Eukaryota; Metazoa; Arthropoda; Insecta; Hymenoptera; Proctotrupidae
Description: tRNA-Lys
Source: RNAcentral
CAUUAAAUAACUUAAGUUAAAGUAAUGAUCUUUUAAAUCAUCUAUAAUUAUUUUUUAAUUUUUAAUGA